This 274-nucleotide ribosomal RNA is filed under the name uncultured bacterium. RNAcentral's name for it is "partial 16S ribosomal RNA". It matches the Rfam family "Bacterial small subunit ribosomal RNA", at positions 523 to 796 of the family's 1533-position model. The record is from RNAcentral.
AUACGGAGGGUGCAAGCGUUACUCGGAAUCACUGGGCGUAAAGCGCGCGCAGGCGGUUAUUUAAGUUGGAUGUGAAAGCCUACGGCUCAACCGUAGAACUGCAUCCAAAACUAUUUAGCUAGAGUGUGGGAGAGGAAGAUGGAAUUAGUUGUGUAGGGGUAAAAUCCGUAGAGAUAACUAGGAAUACCAAAAGCGAAGGCAAUCUUCUGGAACACUACUGACGCUGAGGCGCGAAGGCGUGGGGAGCAAACAGGAUUAGAAACCCCAGUAGUCC